UCCUUGGUGGCUCAGAGGUUAAAGCGUCUGCCUGCAAUUCUGGAGACCCAGGUUCAAUCCCUGGGUUGGGAA
RNAcentral lists this transfer RNA (72 nucleotides) under Bos taurus (domestic cattle). It matches the Rfam family "tRNA". From Rfam's summary of the family: Transfer RNA (tRNA) molecules are approximately 80 nucleotides in length. Their secondary structure includes four short double-helical elements and three loops (D, anti-codon, and T loops). Further hydrogen bonds mediate the characteristic L-shaped molecular structure. tRNAs have two regions of fundamental functional importance: the anti-codon, which is responsible for specific mRNA codon recognition, and the 3' end, to which the tRNAs corresponding amino acid is attached (by aminoacyl-tRNA synthetases). tRNAs cope with the degeneracy of the genetic code in two manners: having more than one tRNA (with a specific anti-codon) for a particular amino acid; and 'wobble' base-pairing, i.e. permitting non-standard base-pairing at the 3rd anti-codon position. The record is from Rfam by way of RNAcentral. RNAcentral also lists the same sequence under 3 other names. Lineage: Eukaryota; Metazoa; Chordata; Mammalia; Artiodactyla; Bovidae.